UUUAUGUUACACUGAUGCAAAUACUCAGAUUUGGACUUCUUUUCUCAUUACAAGAGGUUUGUACUGAAAGCAUUGUUGAUAUUGAAAAUAGUCAGUUGUAGUCAGGGUUCAAAUUAUCAUUUGAACACCAUACAAUUUUUCUUGCAACACAUUACCAAUACCAGCACAAUUCGAUUCUAUCCACUAUAAAUCUCAUGUUCUUGAUAGCCUACACUUGAAGUUUGAGCAGUAACAGUAAUAGUAGCAGUAACAACUCCACCAGAGAUUUUUGAGUAAAGCCCUUCUCUACAUGUGCUAGUGCUAGUGCUAAAAGCCCUUCUCUACAUGUUCUAUUGCUAGUGCUAAAGCCCUACUAGUUUGAUUGAAAUUCUGAAUUUUAUCUUUUUGUAAUUUCAUGUCAGAGCCCUUGUUGUCCUAACAUUCUAACUUGAACUGUUUUAUCUUUUUGUUUAUCAUCGGUAGUGGUAUAUGAUUACUUAAGGGCAUUAUUUUUACUCUUUACCGCGAUGUAGAUACGUCAAUGGAAACAUUGGGAAGAUUCUAUUAAGAAAGAUAAAUAUGAUCAAGACAAGGUUGUGAAUAAGAAGGUGACUCAUGUGCAUCAGCAUGCUUUUAUCAGGGAACAUUUUCUUGGAAUUGGGUUUUGUUUAACCAUUCUGAGUUGGCUGGGUCAUAAUGUUGUGUUGAUCUCCAACCAUCAGACAAAAGCUGAACCAAUGAUAAUUACCUUGUUACUUGAGACAUCACACCCUCAUGUUGUUGAGAAGAUGGUACGCUACUUUGUUGUUUGUUUUAUUUUAGGCCACCGAAUGAAAAGACAAUCUUGAUUGUUCUUAUUGACUAAAUAUUGUGCUUUGUACCACAGACCUAUGUUGCUGGAGAUAGGGUUGUGAUGGAUCCUGUUUGCAAGCCCUUCAGCAUGGGAAGGUGCUCAUGAAGCUUAGUGAUUUGCAGUGGAGAAAUACAUAUCUUGUGAUUUGACUAUAUUUAUUGAACUCUCACAAUGUUUAUUACUGCAUACUGUUUUGUGCCAAAAAUCUUGUCUGUGUAUACUCAAAGAAGCAGAUGCAUGACAUUCCUGAGCUUGCUAAGAUGAAAAAGAAAGCCAAUACCCUGAGUCUUAAGGAAAUGGCUCUACUUUUAUGGAUGAUAGUGUUAAAUGGAGAGCAUUGCAAGUUAUUUCAAGUUCACUUAGUAUUCACUUAUUAUUGCAACGGACCCUUUGGCAGGGGAAACUACUCUUAUACAACUGAUUUUCGGGGCUUACCUUCGAUCUAAGAUAAAGUGCAUGAAGUGCCAAGGCAAGUCUGAGAAGCAUGAACUGAUGAUGGAUCUAACUAUUGAGAUACAUGGGGAUAUUGGAACUCUUGAAGAAGCACUUGUACAAUUUACGGCUAC
Molecule: long non-coding RNA, 1398 nt
Organism: Magnolia sinica
Lineage: Eukaryota; Viridiplantae; Streptophyta; Magnoliopsida; Magnoliales; Magnoliaceae
Exons: 5
Source: RefSeq, a predicted model, not a curated record